CAGUAGCCGCGGUAAAACAGAGGGUGCGAGCGUUAAUCGGAAUUACUGGGCGUAAAGCGCACGCAGGCGGUCUGUCAAGUCAGAUGUGAAAUCCCCGGGCUUAACCUGGGAACUGCAUUUGAAACUGGCAGGCUAGAGUCUUGUAGAGGGGGGUAGAAUUCCAGGUGUAGCGGUGAAAUGCGUAGAGAUCUGGAGGAAUACCGGUGGCGAAGGCGGCCCCCUGGACAAAGACUGACGCUCAGGUGCGAAAGCGUGGGGAGCAAACAGGAUUAGAUACCCCGGUAGUCCCUGUCUCUUAUAC
This 301-nucleotide ribosomal RNA is filed under the name uncultured bacterium. RNAcentral's name for it is "partial 16S ribosomal RNA". It matches the Rfam family "Bacterial small subunit ribosomal RNA", at positions 509 to 807 of the family's 1533-position model. The record is from RNAcentral.